AAGUUAGUGAGGCGGUUGUACGGAACACCUUAUCUUAUCAAGAGGCAUGGGAAAUGUCAUAUUUUGGGGCAAAUGUUUUAUACCCUCGAACUAUCAUUCCAGUGAUGCAAUAUGACAUUCCGAUCGUUAUAAGAAACAUCUUCAACCUCUCUGCACCUGGAACAAAAAAUUGCAGGGCACCCAUCAUUGAAGCUGAAGUAAAACAGGACUCGGUAGCUUAUGUAAAAGGCUUUGGAACCAUAGACAACUUGGCCCUUGUAAAUGUCGAGGGAACUGGAAUGGUUGGUGUUCCGGGUACAGCC
This is an RNA transcript of Helianthus annuus (common sunflower), 302 nucleotides long. RefSeq lists it as uncharacterized. NCBI's taxonomy places the organism in Eukaryota, Viridiplantae, Streptophyta, Magnoliopsida, Asterales, Asteraceae. The record is from RefSeq and is a predicted model, not a curated record. The transcript is spliced from 3 exons.